GAUGAACGCUGGCGGCGUGCCUAACACAUGCAAGUCGAGCGAUUUACUUCGGUAAAGAGCGGCGGACGGGUGAGUAACGCGUGGGUAACCUGCCCUGUACACACGGAUAACAUACCGAAAGGUAUGCUAAUACGAGAUAAUAUGCUUUUAUCGCAUGGUAGAAGUAUCAAAGCUUUUGCGGUACAGGAUGGACCCGCGUCUGAUUAGCUAGUUGGUAAGGUAACGGCUUACCAAGGCGACGAUCAGUAGCCGACCUGAGAGGGUGAUCGGCCACAUUGGAACUGAGACACGGUCCAAACUCCUACGGGAGGCAGCAGUGGGGAAUAUUGCACAAUGGGCGAAAGCCUGAUGCAGCAACGCCGCGUGAGCGAUGAAGGCCUUCGGGUCGUAAAGCUCUGUCCUCAAGGAAGAUAAUGACGGUACUUGA
This 427-nucleotide ribosomal RNA is filed under the name uncultured bacterium. Its description in RNAcentral is "bacterial SSU rRNA". It matches the Rfam family "Bacterial small subunit ribosomal RNA", at positions 28 to 482 of the family's 1533-position model. The record is from RNAcentral.